AAUGAACAUAUUGCAGCAAUUCUACAAA
Molecule: small RNA, 28 nt
Filed under: Bombyx mori (domestic silkworm)
Lineage: Eukaryota; Metazoa; Arthropoda; Insecta; Lepidoptera; Bombycidae
Description: ovarian small RNA-10816
Source: RNAcentral